Onychomys torridus (southern grasshopper mouse) is the source of this 102-nucleotide small nuclear RNA. NCBI's taxonomy places the organism in Eukaryota, Metazoa, Chordata, Mammalia, Rodentia, Cricetidae. The record is from RefSeq and is a predicted model, not a curated record.
UUGCUUCCAGAGCAAAUGCACUAGAACUGGAGUCAUACAGAGAGGGUUGGCAUGGUCCUGCACAAGGAUGUUGUACAAACUCAUUAAGUGUUCUUAACAGAA